This 1409-nucleotide long non-coding RNA is filed under the name Coturnix japonica (Japanese quail). Its description in RNAcentral is "lncRNA (ENSCJPG00005009272.1)". Lineage: Eukaryota; Metazoa; Chordata; Aves; Galliformes; Phasianidae. The record is from RNAcentral.
CUGGUAUAGAGGCAGCUAGAUAAAAUAAGCUAGCCAUGUGUUUAUGAGAGGCAUGGAGCAGAUUCGUUCCGCUCUUCUUGCAUAUGCCUCACAAGAGCCUUUGUUCUACUGACAAAAUCUCCCCAUGCCCUACAAUCCAGGGAGCAAUAAAAAAGGUAUCUUAAAAAUGUAGUGAUGUUGCCUACUCAACAGGGCUUUAAAUCAAAACAAAGUCUUCAGUGAGAAAAAAAGGCUUCUCGCUCUGGAAAAAUUCCCGGCCUUGUGUUUCCCAAAAUGCUAUCACAAAACAUCGUUAUCUUGUCUCUUCCUAUCUCUGGUGUGUCAUUGGAAUGGCCUGAAUGAAGUUGCUAUUUGUAGCAUAGGGCUCAUGCAAAGCUUGUAUCAAUGAAGACACUUAAUUGCUCCUCUUUGCAAUAUUAUGCAAUUGGUGCUUCUCUAAUAGUUCUCCUUGUCAAUGCCAGGAUCUCAUGACUCACUGUCAUGAGGGAGCCUUCUCCUUCCUGUGAGCAGUAAUCAGUUUACUAGCAAAUCUCUGUGAGCUCCUGCAUACGAGAAGACGCCUCCAUCCUUUCUUGCUAGCUUCCGGAAUGCAGCAAUCAGAUGUGCUCCAGAAGUGAUUGUAUUCAGAUGAAGAUAGUAAGGCACCAAGGCUGUGUAACACUUCUCAUCCUUCAUCUAAUAUACCACACAAUGCACUACAAGCCUCCGAGUGAAGGUGUUUGCUGCAGGAGGGCAGUCAUGCUGAAACACAUCUUCCAGAGGAGAUUUGCUGCUUUGGUUUACACAGGGCUGUGUAACAGUUCACAACAUCUGCUCCAUCGUGACUCCUUUCUUGGGGACAAACAUCUUCAGCAAACAAAUGGAAUGGGGGCUCAACCUGCGGCUCUGCCAGAACAGCCUCCAUCUCUCGCCAUCAAGCCACUGUGCAAAUUCUAGCGGGUGGAUUUAGAGCCAUAGAACCAUCGGACAUCCCGACAUGGAGGGGACCCAUAAGGACAACUCAAUCCGACUCGUGAGGACUGGUUACCCAAUGCCCACGUUACGAAUGCUGAAAAGAAAAGCAGAGGCAUCGGGAUGACUCCCGCCUACUCGGCCAUCGCUGUGCUAAAGCUUUAAUUUCUUCCCUGAGUUUUUAUCGUCGAGGGUGAUAAACGUAGGAACUGAUGACAGUGCGCAAAGCCAGCCCCUACGCACGGCCGGCUGCACUCGCAUCCAUCCAAUCGGGGCUGAAACGGAGCAGUUCGCACCUUCAAAUGCACUCAUCUGUGACCCUUUACAACAAGCCGACGGUGGCAAUGGGACGGCACAGUGCAGCCUCCCUGCCAUAAGCGUCUUUUGGGACUUUCCGAUCCCGACGUCGUCCAGUAACUUUGAAUAAAUUCGAUGUGUCGGUAACGCGAAGACCGGCG